RNAcentral lists this ribosomal RNA (423 nucleotides) under uncultured bacterium. RNAcentral's name for it is "bacterial SSU rRNA". It matches the Rfam family "Bacterial small subunit ribosomal RNA", at positions 202 to 622 of the family's 1533-position model. The record is from RNAcentral.
AAGACCUUGUGCUUUUGGAGCGGCCGAUGCCUGAUUAGCUAGUUGGUAGGGUAAAGGCCUACCAAGGCUACGAUCAGUAGUUGGUCUGAGAGGACGACCAGCCACACUGGGACUGAGACACGGCCCAGACUCCUACGGGAGGCAGCAGUGGGGAAUUUUGGACAAUGGGCGAAAGCCUGAUCCAGCAAUGCCGCGUGAGUGAAGAAGGCCUUCGGGUUGUAAAGCUCUUUCAGUCGAGAAGAAAAAGUUGUGACUAAUAAUCACAAUUUAUGACGGUACCGACAGAAGAAGCACCGGCUAACUACGUGCCAGCAGCCGCGGUAAUACGUAGGGUGCGAGCGUUAAUCGGAAUUACUGGGCGUAAAGGGUGCGCAGGCGGCUUUGUAAGUCAGAUGUGAAAUCCCCGGGCUUAACCUGGGAAUU